Molecule: small RNA, 68 nt
Filed under: Cytobacillus firmus
Lineage: Bacteria; Bacillati; Bacillota; Bacilli; Caryophanales; Bacillaceae
Also listed under: 1 other name
Description: Bacillus firmus Bacillaceae-1 RNA
Rfam family: Bacillaceae-1 RNA
Source: RNAcentral
UCCAGAUGAACUUCAACUAAAAACCGCCACGUCCUGUGGCGAACGUUGAAGUCAGCACAUCCUGUGCA